UGGGGAAUAUUGGACAAUGGGCGAAAGCCUGAUCCAGCAAUGCCGCGUGAGUGAUGAAGGCCUUAGGGUUGUAAAGCUCUUUUUACCAGGGAUGAUAAUGACAGUACCUGGAGAAUAAGCUCCGGCUAACUACGUGCCAGCAGCCGCGGUAAUACGUAGGGACCAAGCGUUGUUCGGAUUUACUGGGCGUAAAGGGCGCGUAGGCGGCAAUUCAAGUCAUCUGUGAAAUCUCCGGGCUUAACUCGGAACGGUCAGAUGAUACUGCUUUGCUAGAGUGCAGAAGGGGCAAUCGGAAUUCUUGGUGUAGCGGUGAAAUGCGUAGAUAUCAAGAGGAACACCUGAGGUGAAGACGGUUGCUGGGCUGACACUGACGCUGAGGCGCGAAAGCCAGGGGAGCAAACGGGAUUAGAUACCCAAGUAGUCCCUGAGCGGGCUGGCAAGGCGC
This 445-nucleotide ribosomal RNA is filed under the name uncultured bacterium. RNAcentral's name for it is "bacterial SSU rRNA". It matches the Rfam family "Bacterial small subunit ribosomal RNA", at positions 355 to 823 of the family's 1533-position model. The record is from RNAcentral.